AUGAUACAUGACCACAUGCUUUUGGACCAGAUUUUGGCUUGUAGAAUAUUGCUAAUAUUGUGUGCAUGCAUUUGGACGCUAACAGAUUUGACCUUUCAUUUCUCAGACAGGGACAGCCCGGCAGGACGAUGCCUCCAACCUCUGCUUACAUUGCAAUUGUCCCAGCCACCCUCCAACAGCAGCUUGAGGUACAGUGUGGACGCACGCUUUCUCUUGAUGAAUAAUGAACAUGUAGCUCUUGAAGUCGUCGCGCACGCCGCCCGGGAAUAUACCUCGGCGAGAUUUGACAUUCCUGAUAUCGGAAUGCAUGAACACCCAUACAGGCAACUUAGUCAGAACGGCAUGGUAGCUGGCUGA
Molecule: ribosomal RNA, 357 nt
Filed under: Triticum aestivum (bread wheat)
Lineage: Eukaryota; Viridiplantae; Streptophyta; Magnoliopsida; Poales; Poaceae
Description: partial small subunit ribosomal RNA
Source: RNAcentral